CAGUAGCCGCGGUAACACGAAGGGUGCAAGCGUUACUCGGAAUUACUGGGCGUAAAGCGUGCGUAGGUGGUGGCUUAAGUCCGUUGUGAAAGCCCUGGGCUCAACCUGGGAAUUGCAGUGGAUACUGGGUCACUAGAGUGUGGUAGAGGAUAGUGGAAUUUCCGGUGUAGCAGUGAAAUGCGUAGAGAUCGGAAGGAACAUCUGUGGCGAAGGCGACUAUCUGGGCCAACACUGACACUGAGGCACGAAAGCGUGGGGAGCAAACAGGAUUAGAUACCCCCGUAGUCCCUGUCUCUUAUAC
This 301-nucleotide ribosomal RNA is filed under the name uncultured bacterium. RNAcentral describes it as "partial 16S ribosomal RNA". It matches the Rfam family "Bacterial small subunit ribosomal RNA", at positions 509 to 807 of the family's 1533-position model. The record is from RNAcentral.